UUCAGAUGAUUGGAAAAUGUUAAACCAUGUGCUGGAGAGCCAGGAAGUCUUUAACGAGAUUAUCACUGAGAUGCGCCAGGCCUUCUUUACCCAACUGGAUACAGCACAAGAUGUGUCGCAGACCUUGAAAAGGCUGACAGCAGCAACACAAGAAAGUAAAGAGAUGGUCAAAGAUCUGUCCCAAGCCUUCACUACCCACCUAAUGGAAUACAAACAAG
Long non-coding RNA from Homarus americanus (American lobster), 218 nucleotides. RefSeq lists it as uncharacterized. NCBI's taxonomy places the organism in Eukaryota, Metazoa, Arthropoda, Malacostraca, Decapoda, Nephropidae. The transcript is spliced from 4 exons. The record is from RefSeq and is a predicted model, not a curated record.